UGUAAGCGUAUACCAAAGUUGUUGCAGUUAAAACGCUCGUAGUCGGAAUUUGGCAGUUCCGGAAGUGUGCACGUCGUGUGCGCACUUUGCGGGGACUGCUUUUGUGGUCUUGCGUAGGAUGAGGCACUUUCAUUAGUGAACGUCCUCACGCAACCACUCUUUACUGUGAGAAAAUCAGAGUGCUCAAAGCAGGCAUUUGCCGUGAAUGUAUUAGCAUGGAAUAAUAGAAUAGGACUCGGUUCUAUUUUGUUGGUUUGUUGGGACUGAGUAAUGAUUAAGAGGGACAGUUGGGGGCAUUUGUAUUCCGGAGCUAGAGGUGAAAUUCUUAGAUUGCCGGAAGACAAACUGCUGCGAAAGCGUCUGCCAAGGAUGUUUUCAUUGA
This 382-nucleotide ribosomal RNA is filed under the name uncultured eukaryote. RNAcentral describes it as "partial 18S ribosomal RNA". It matches the Rfam family "Eukaryotic small subunit ribosomal RNA", at positions 592 to 976 of the family's 1831-position model. The record is from RNAcentral.